RNAcentral lists this ribosomal RNA (1135 nucleotides) under Dothideomycetes sp. genotype 375. RNAcentral describes it as "eukaryotic LSU rRNA". The stretch from base 549 to 1135 matches the Rfam family "Eukaryotic large subunit ribosomal RNA", at positions 1 to 601 of the family's 3401-position model. The record is from RNAcentral. Lineage: Eukaryota; Fungi; Ascomycota; Dothideomycetes.
AAUCCUCGCCCGAUCGAAUCGAACGCGUGCUAACGAGUAUUCUAGUGAACCUGCGGAGGGAUCAUUACCGAGCGAGGGCCCCCGCGGCCCGACCUCCCACCCUGUGAAUGACAGACCCCUGUUGCCUGGGGGGUGACCCGGUCCUCCGCGGCCGGGGCCCCCACCAGACCCCAACCAAACCCUUGCGUCUCUGCGUCCGAGUCCACGAUAUGAAUCAAUCAAAACUUUCAACAACGGAUCUCUUGGUUCCGGCAUCGAUGAAGAACGCAGCGAAAUGCGAUAAGUAAUGCGAAUUGCAGAAUUCCGUGAGUCAUCGAAUCUUUGAACGCACAUUGCGCCCUCUGGUAUUCCGGGGGGCACACCUGUUCGAGCGUCAUUACACCCCUCAAGCCCCGCUUGGUAUUGGGCGACCCGGGCGAGAGCCCGCGCCUUAAAUUGAUUGAUCGGCCAGAUCUGCCGGACCCCGAGCGUUGCGGAAACGAAUUCGCUUAGGGGAGCCGUGCGUCCGCGCCGCCGACCGCCGCCUCCGGGCGGCAAUUUCAUUAGGUUGACCUCGGAUCAGGUGGGGAUACCCGCUGAACUUAAGCAUAUCAAUAAGCGGAGGAAAAGAAACCAACAGGGAUUGCCCUAGUAACGGCGAGUGAAGCGGCAACAGCUCAAAUUUGAAAUCUGGCGCAAGCCCGAGUUGUAAUUUGUAGAGGAUGCUUCGGGGCCGCGGCCGGUCUAAGUUCCUUGGAACAGGACGUCAUAGAGGGUGAGAGUCCCGUAUGCGACCGGUGGGCACCCCGCACGUAGCUCCUUCGACGAGUCGAGUUGUUUGGGAAUGCAGCUCUAAAUGGGUGGUAAAUUUCAUCUAAAGCUAAAUACCGGCCGGAGACCGAUAGCGCACAAGUAGAGUGAUCGAAAGAUGAAAAGCACUUUGGAAAGAGAGUUAAAAAGCACGUGAAAUUGUUGAAAGGGAAGCGCUUGCGACCAGACCUGUCGGCGGUGUUCCGCCGGUCUUUUGACCGGUCCACUCGCCGCCGCUAGGCCAGCAUCGUCCGGGGCCGCCGGAGAAAGACGGGGGGAAUGUAGCUCCCCCGGGAGUGUUAUAGCCCCCCGUGUAAUGCGGCGCGCGCCGGGCGAGGUCCGCGGU